UAUUUAAUCGCCCCCGAAAGGAUGAAAGGCAAAGUCGACCUCGGUGGAAUUUGAACUCAGAACGUAACGGCAGACGAAAUACGGCUAAGCAUUUCGCCCGGCGUGCUAACGUUUCUGCCAACAUAUAAGAGAGGGUUAUACAGACAAAUGUUGAGUUUUAAGUUUGAUCAUCAAAUCUUACAACGUCAUGUUUAAACCUUUUUUGUAUUUCUUAACCGAAAAAUCGACGCCCCUCUGUCUGCGGCAGCGUGAGCUCCACUUGGAUAGAAUCCAGUCGUACACAAAUACUAAAGAAAAAAAGUAAAAGAUACCUCUGUAAGUCGAAACUAUAUUUUCAUUUCGUAUUUCCACUCAUGUAAACAGAUCCUCGUGAUAUCCAAGACAAGAGACUAAACUACAAGAGACGAUACCUGCAGACGUUUCUCUUAGGAUUUUUUAAGAAUUUCUGUAGAAUUAAUUAUGGAAGACGUUAAUCACUUGGACACUUUUAACUCGACUGUUUUUAACUCUGUUAAUUCAGUAACACAAACACAGAGCGAUGAGAAGCCUUUACGCAGGGAAACAAUUAUUGAACAAUCAUCGUUAGAGAGAAAUAUUCCUGGAUAUUGCAGUGAAAUUUACCAGAAAAUAUUUUCUGAAGAUGAAUCGUUUACAUAUAAAGAAAUUCAUAAUGGGGAAUUGACCGAAAACUCUUAUCAGUGUGAGAUUUGUGGGAAAGAUUUUGUCUCUAACAGUAAAUUAACAAAGCACAAGAGGGUACACGGUGGAGAAAAACCCUUUCACUGUGAAAUUUGUGGUAAAUCAUUCUUUGAAAAGUCUAGCCUCCUUCGUCACCAAAGAAUUCAUACUGGAAAGAAUUUAUUUCACUGUGAAACGUGUGGUAAGUGUUUUGUCUGUAAUAGUAAUUUAACAGCACAUAAACGAACUCAUACGGGAGAAAAACCUUAUGAGUGUGACAUAUGUAAGAAGUCAUUCUCUGAUAAAUCUACUCUUGUAGUUCACCAACGAAUACACUCUGGAGAAAAACUGUUUCACUGUGAAAUCUGCGGAAAGUCUUUUGUCUGUAACAGCAGUUUGACAUCUCACAAGCGGACUCAUACUGGGGAACGACCGUAUCAUUGUGAUGUGUGCGGGAAAUCAUUCUCUGAUAAUUCUACUCUUGUUGUUCAUCGGAGGAUUCAUACGGGGGAGAAAAUAUUCCGCUGUGAAGUGUGUGAGAAGUCUUUUGUCUUUAAUAGUGAUUUGAAGCGUCACGGUAGAGUCCACACGGGGGAAAAACCGUAUCGUUGCGAAAUCUGCGGAAAAUCUUUCUGUGAUUAUUCUCAUCUUUUACGCCACCGAAGAAUUCACUCUGGGGAGAAAAUAUACGGCUGUGAAAUAUGUGGGAAGGGUUUUGUUUCUAAGAGUAAUUUGAAAAAACACAUUAGGGUUCAUACGGGGGAAAAGCCUUACGAAUGUGAAAUAUGUGGUAAAUCAUUCUCUGAUCAUUCUGGAUUUGUAGUUCAUCAGAGAAUUCAUUCUGGAGAUAAACGAUUCCGUUGUGGGAUAUGUGAGAAGUCGUUUGUUACGAACUGUGAUUUAAAGAGGCACAGCCGGAUACACAGCGGGGAAAAACCGUAUCCGUGCGAGACAUGCGGGAAAUCUUUUAUGAUAAAAAGUACAUUGACGAAACACAACCGAAUUCAUACUGGGGAAAAACCGUAUCGUUGCGAGAUAUGUGGAAAGUCGUUCUGCGAUAACUCUAGUCUCUCGGUUCACCGAAGGACGCAUACAGGUGAAAAACGAUUUCAGUGCGAGGUAUGUGACAAAUCGUUUGUUACUAACGGUCACUUGAAAUCGCAUAGGAGGAUUCAUACCGGGGAAAAACCUUUUCACUGCCAAACUUGUGGGAAAUCGUUUCGUGAAAAUUCUUACCUUGUAAUACACAAACGCAUUCAUACAGGAGAGAAACCCUUUCACUGUGACUUGUGUGGGCUGUCGUUUGUAUCUAACAGUGAUUUAACAAAACACAUCAAGAAACAUGCUGGAGGCAAAACUAUUCCAGUAUGACAUGAAUGGAGUGUCUUUGUAUCUAACAGUGAAUUAAGAAAACAGUUAAAGAAAAGUAUUGGAGAAAAAAAACUAUUCCACUGAAAAAUGUGGGGAAACUUUUGUGUCUGACAAUGAUUUAAUCAUACUCAUAGAAUACCCACAGAUGACAAAACCCUUCCACUGCAAUAUGUGUGGGAUGUCUUUUUGUAUGUAAUAGCGAUUGGGGAAUAUUUUGCACAGGACUUUUGUUUUGCCAUUCACAAUGUAGUGAAUCGGCAAAGUGACUUUAUGACUUUAUCAUUGUGAAAUAUCCCGAUUGUAAUAUAGUGUGUACAAACGUUCAAAUGGUACUGCAUGAGGAGUGGGACCCAUGCAGCCAUUUCAUUUUCCAUUUUUAUAUAAUAUUCAUCCUCAUUCAUUUUAUGUUUAUUGUCCCCACUGUGGUGUUGUGUCUGUCCUUGUUAUGUCUACUCUUCGUCCAGGCUAUAUGCCUAUAAUAAAGAUUUAGAGUAUACUU
Octopus sinensis (East Asian common octopus) is the source of this 2548-nucleotide RNA transcript. It is a transcript of the gene named zinc finger protein 420-like, with no coding region annotated. The transcript is spliced from 3 exons. The record is from RefSeq and is a predicted model, not a curated record. Lineage: Eukaryota; Metazoa; Mollusca; Cephalopoda; Octopoda; Octopodidae.